This 441-nucleotide ribosomal RNA is filed under the name uncultured bacterium. Its description in RNAcentral is "partial 16S ribosomal RNA". It matches the Rfam family "Bacterial small subunit ribosomal RNA", at positions 338 to 795 of the family's 1533-position model. The record is from RNAcentral.
CCUACGGGAGGCAGCAGUGGGGAAUAUUGGGCAAUGGAGGCAACUCUGACCCAGCAACGCCGCGUGAGCGAUGAAGGUCUUCGGAUUGUAAAGCUCUGUCGCAGGGGACGAAGUAUGACGGUACCCUGUAAGAAAGCCCCGGCAAACUACGUGCCAGCAGCCGCGGUAAUACGUAGGGGGCUAGCGUUGUCCGGAAUUACUGGGCGUAAAGGGAGUGUAGACGGGACUGCAAGUCAGAUGUGAAAACCACGGGCUCAACCUGUGGCCUGCAUUUGAAACUGUAGUUCUUGAGUACUGGAGAGGCAGACGGAAUUCGUAGUGUAGCGGUGAAAUGCGUAGAUAUUAGGAGGAACACCAGUGGCGAAGGCGGUCUGCUGGACAGCAACUGACGCUGAGGCGCGAAAGCGUGGGGAGCAAACAGGAUUAGAUACCCGGGUAGUC